Molecule: ribosomal RNA, 253 nt
Filed under: uncultured bacterium
Lineage: Bacteria
Description: partial 16S ribosomal RNA
Rfam family: Bacterial small subunit ribosomal RNA
Source: RNAcentral
UACAGAGGGUGCGAGCGUUAAUCGGAAUUACUGGGCGUAAAGCGUGCGUAGGCGGCUAUCUAAGUCGGGUGUGAAAGCCCCGGGCUCAACCUGGGAAUUGCAUUCGAGACUGAAUAGCUAGGGUACGGUAGAGGGAAGCGGAAUUUCCGGUGUAGCGGUGAAAUGCGUAGAUAUCGGAAGGAACAUCAGUGGCGAAAGCGGCUUCCUGGACCAGUACCGACGUUCAGGCACGGAAGCGUGGGGAGCAAACAGG